RNAcentral lists this ribosomal RNA (404 nucleotides) under Actinomycetes bacterium. RNAcentral describes it as "Actinobacteria bacterium partial 16S ribosomal RNA". It matches the Rfam family "Bacterial small subunit ribosomal RNA", at positions 355 to 776 of the family's 1533-position model. The record is from RNAcentral. Lineage: Bacteria; Bacillati; Actinomycetota; Actinomycetes.
AGGGGAAUAUUGGACAAUGGGCGCAAGCCUGAUCCAGCCAUGCCGCGUGAGUGAUGAAGGCCCUAGGGUUGUAAAGCUCUUUCACCGGUGAAGAUAAUGACGGUAACCGGAGAAGAAGCCCCGGCUAACUUCGUGCCAGCAGCCGCGGUAAUACGAAGGGGGCUAGCGUUGUUCGGAUUUACUGGGCGUAAAGCGCACGUAGGCGGACUUUUAAGUCAGGGGUGAAGUCCCGGGGCUCAACCCCGGAACUGCCGUUGUGUCUGGACGUCUUGAGUAUGGUAGAGGUGAGUGGAGUUCCGUGUGUAGAGGUGAAAUUCGUAGAUAUUCUGAGGAACAACAGUGGCGAAGGCGGCUCACUGGACCAUUACUGACGAUGCGGUGCGAAAGCGUGGGGAGCAAACAGG